GGUUAUAGCUUAGUGGUAGAGCACGAGCCUGGCAUGUGUGAGGCACUGGAUUCGAUCCUCAGCACCA
This 67-nucleotide transfer RNA is filed under the name Marmota monax (woodchuck). RNAcentral's name for it is "tRNA.Ala". The record is from RNAcentral. Lineage: Eukaryota; Metazoa; Chordata; Mammalia; Rodentia; Sciuridae.